This is an RNA transcript of Triticum aestivum (bread wheat), 1196 nucleotides long. RefSeq lists it as uncharacterized. The record is from RefSeq and is a predicted model, not a curated record. The transcript is spliced from 2 exons. NCBI's taxonomy places the organism in Eukaryota, Viridiplantae, Streptophyta, Magnoliopsida, Poales, Poaceae.
CAGCGCCUAGCUCCCAGGCGUUGCAGUAGUGCAGCGCCUGAGAGCUAGGCGCCACGGGUCAGCCGCGUGAAAUAGUUUCACGGACAGUUCAUUCUGUGAUUUGAUUUCGUCUAUAGGUCAAAUUUGUCAAAUUUGCCGGGUGUGGGGGUGGAACGUUCGGGCUGAGGGGUUUUUGGGCCGAACAAAUUUGUUCGAUCGAUUGACCAUCCAGUACGAACGAGUCAUUCGGUCUGCGAGACCCCAAGACCGAACGUACGGUACUUAUCGACGUCCAAAGAAAAAUGCUUUGGCUGCAUACGUAUAAUUGUUGGUAGGCUUGAGUAUGUAUCUUUGACCAAUUCCGUCCUUCCAUGUCGUAUCAAAUCUAUUUUUUAUUUUGUUAGGGUAUCAAAUCUAUUUAUUUAGGUACUUGAGUUAAGGGCAUAGCGAAGAGAACAACCGGCCGAUUGCGUUGGAUUACCCUUCUCGCAUGCAAUAUCUAUCCAUUUAAUUGCUUGCCAACAUUCAUAUUGUCUAUUUAUUGAGAAUAUCACAGAUGAAACAAGAAAAUAAUUCAAUUGAUACGGGCAGAUAGGCAGGAACAAACAUUCUUCUUCCUUGGUCCUUCUCGGCCGCGGUCUCCAUCUCACCAUAUAGAGGACGACCGCGGUCCAUAUGGUAGAGCUGAUUAGAACACAUAUAUUGUCCCAUUUACAACACACAUCAACCAAGCAUCCAUCAGAUCAUCGAUCUCAGGUCCAUGGACAAGCACAAGAGUCGCACGCGUGCACCAGCCUUGCUGCUCCCUAUGCUGUUUCUCGCGUGUUUUCCCCUUUACGCUCAAUGCCGCCUCAUCGAGGGCACGGGCGACGACAAGAUCAAUAUACCGGGCGGGCUCUGCGUUCAUCAUAGAGACUGCAAACCGGGCAAUUGUUGCUUCUGGUGCCUAGUGCUGGAUCUGUGCUAUGCAUCAAUCGGCGAGUGCAAGAAAGAGUGCCAAGGCCACAUCGACGCGCGCCUCUUUAACCUUCCGUCGCCGUCAAAUUGAGUUCCUUGAUCUUGAACCGGCAACCUGUUCGAGCAGGACUAGUGGUCUAAUUUGUUGUAUUCUUUUGAAGUCGCCGGUAGUUGUUCUAAUAAUAAGAAUAUAUAUCUCAACGAUUUGUUUCAAUUUCUUAUUAGGGAAAUCUCUAAUUAUCAAGUUUGUUUGUUGUCCA